UGUGUUUCAGUUUUGUAGAGCGUGGGAGGUUCUAUCGACAAAGCUUUUGGACGAAAGUGGUGUUGAUGAUAACAGAACGAGGUUUGGAAAGGGAUAGUGUACACGUACUCGACGGGGGUGAAUUACACCUAAGCUUAGAUGUCUUCAAAAGGCCAUCACUCACAACAACAUCCUCUUCACCUCAAUGGCUUCACAUAUGUUGUGUUCGGGACUAAGAAGCAUGGGAACGGGAAGAUUGAUGAGCUAGAGAGG
Arabidopsis lyrata subsp. lyrata is the source of this 252-nucleotide long non-coding RNA. RefSeq lists it as uncharacterized. The record is from RefSeq and is a predicted model, not a curated record. Lineage: Eukaryota; Viridiplantae; Streptophyta; Magnoliopsida; Brassicales; Brassicaceae. The transcript is spliced from 3 exons.